UACAAGGUGCCUCCUCAUUAAUUUCUUCCGUUGUCACUGUGUGUGAGCAUGCGUAGCAUCAGGAAGGAGCGAGCAAGCAUUAGGAGCCCUUGACAGAAGCCUCUUUUCCCUCCCAGGUCUGGUGAGGGGUGGGGGAGCCUUGCAGGAAAUGAGGACAUGAUCAAAGGUGGACAAUUAUGCAAAUAGGAGUCGACGUGCUGGAUCACGUGGAAGGUUUAUGUUCACCUUUUCCAGGAACUGCCCAACUGGUUUCCACAGGGGCUGCACCAUUUUUCAUUCCCAUAAGCAAUGCAAGAGGGUUCCAUUUUCUCCACAUGCUCAUCAACAGUUGAAGCCUCUUCAACUUACCAUGGGAUGCAGAGAAUAAACACAUGAGCCCUUGGGCAGGUUGCCGUGCAUCCUGAGACUUUCUGCAGGGGCCUUGUCCUCCGGAUUGAGUGCCUGACCAGACUUCAUGCUGAGGCCUUCAUUGAGAUGCGUCAGGAGGGUGGCUGUAAAGGGGCCCGGAGUGCUUCUAGAAAACAACCAUGAACAAACUAUGGUGAAGGAUGCUUCUCCUUUUCCUGGGAAACUUUACCCAAAGCCAUUUUAAAUCCUCUACAGCUAACUUAUCAAUGUGAUGGAAAUUUCUAUUUUAUUGCUAUUACUAGUAAUUUUAGUUUAUUUUGUUUUACCUGUGUGUGUGUGUGUGUGUGUGUGUGUGCACGUGCUACAGAGAAGGCACAGGGAGAUUGAUUCUUUUUCUUUCCCUAAAGUGUCACAAGAGUGUCUACCUCUCUUCCCUUCAAAGGAGCCACCCCCUUUACCUCCUACUGUAAUACAUUCAGGGACCUGGCCUCAUUAUUCCUUCCAAGGAGCUUCAAAUUCGAUGAAUUCCUUCUGAAACCUUUUACAACCCCCUGUGGAGCAGGCCAUCCCAUACCCACCCAUCCCUUUGUUGGCUCUGGAGUUAACUCUCUGCUUGGGAUUGGACAGCCAAUUAAUAGCAAAGCUGGAGGAAGAACAGAGCUUGGGGGAUUCCUGUUUGUUCCAGUGCUACCUGAGUCCAAGCUACUUAAACUCUUGCUGUGGCCCAGGAUGGUGUUCAGGGCCCUCCUCUUUAACACUUAAAUUGAGAGACAGAGAGAGACAGACAGACGGUGUGAGCAGGAGAGGGGUGGAGAGAGAGGGAGACACAGAGUCGGAAGCAGGCUCCAGGCUCCGAGCCAUCAGCACAGAGCCCGACGCGGGGCUCGAACCCACGAACCGUGAGAUCGUGACCUGAGCCGAAGUCGGACGCUUAACCAACAGAGCCACGCAGGCGCCCCUGAACAUGAAUUUUAGCCCGAAGAAUUGCGACGAGAACGUGAGACAGAAGAAGGGGCAAGAGAAGACCGCUCUUCAUAGCUGACUCCUUUUCCCCCAACCUCUGCAAGACGACGAGUUCGAGGGAUGUUUGAUGUCACACUGGGCUCUGUGGCCUGAAAACUAGAAACAGAUACAGAGAGGGUGUGUAAACCAUUAAGAGGACAUCUGGGCCCAGUGGGGAACGGCUCCCAGUGCUGCCAGAUCCCAUGUCCCCAGCUGAUGCUGAAGCCUGGCCCGGGGGAUUCUGGCAGGACUUCUGCACCUUGGGGGACCCGGCCCCACAGGGGGUCAGAAGAAGGGAAGGAAAUCUCCUGGGACAACUGGUCUACCCUACUGAAGGGUAUGGUUGUUCUGACCUCCCUUUGUUUCUCUUUGAAAAGAGAGAAACCGGAAAUGCCACAGACGUAGCUUGCUCUGUAUUCUAGCACACACAGUACAGUGGCCGGCUUGGCCGUGUACGUAAGAUCUUUUUCCUCAGAGUCUGUGCACAGAUAAGCGUGUUGGAAAAUUCUAGCUCCUUUGUGUGGGAUGAAAGCACUCAGAAAUUCAAACUGCGGUGUUCUGCUAGGAACUUAUCAAGGCAAGACUCUAACUAAACACUUCACUUUGACAACAGGCCAGCAAACAGAAAUACCGUAUGUGAAUUUCCUGCUUGUUUUGUUUUUUAUCUGCGUCCUCGUGGGUGGUUCCAUCUAUACUCGACAGCACUCCCUCUUUCUUCCGUACUCAUUUAAUUAUGGAAUUAGUAGAAACUGAUUUAAAAAAUAUGACCCAGAGAAGAGGGCCAGUUGCAUGGGCGAGAGACAGAAGGAUGCCACAUUUGGCUUAGUUCUCUGCUGUCGGUGUCUUGAGAUUCUUAACAAUUUUUGGACAGGGGCCUCCUAAUGUCAUUUACUACGUUUGCAAAUGACGUAGCUGGUCCUGUUAGGAUAUAUGACUCCCCAUCUCGGCUCAAAUGUGCGGUGUGGUUUUAGCCAAAUUUUAUACUCUUUGGGUUUGUGUUCCUUCAUCUAAUUUUUUUCCCCAAAGGCAGUGGCUGCGUAUUUAUUUACUAUGCAUUCCCAGCCCCUAGCACGGGACACGUAUAGGUGCUCAAUAAAUACUGUGGAGAGAAUGCAUUAAUGUCGAAUACAAUCUGUUGCUGAAGAUUUGAGAAAGAAUGCUGAGUUACGGAAAUACAUUUCUUAAGAGCUAUAAAGACAAGCGUACUAAAUGGUCAAUGUGAUCAGGGUGACAAUACCAGCUCUACUCAUCAAUUUCUCUGAUGGCGUUGCUGGUAAUUUACCAAAUAGUGGAUGAGAACAAAAGAGUAUCGCCUUCAGUGAAUAAACCUGGGACCGGUGCCAGACGUUUCAUUGGAUCGUAUGAAUUCUUCAUCUUUACAUGAGCAUUCAUGGAAAAAAAAGCCUCACAAGCUAUAAAAAAAAAAAAAAAAAAAAGAAAGCUCUGGAUAUUACAUUUCAGGCCAAGGUCUAGUUCAGAGGCGAUCUGGGAAAAGUAUCAUUUGGAAAAGCUAUCUGCCUGCAGAAUACUAUACCUCAUUAACAUUUUGGUCUUUUACUCAAGACACAGGCAGAAUUCAAGCCCGGGCCUAGGAAGCAGGAGGAUUUCUUGUACGGAUGUCUCUAGGCAAAAGUGUGGGCCCGGACUGGAUGAAAACUAAGCAGCGGCUCCAGUAAACCUGGGAGGCGUUUGAUCAGGGGCUGGGUUGGAAACUAGAAACAGAUACUAGCUUCAGUCUGCCUUAGACUUGUGGAUUAUCUUCCCUGCCUUUUCCCCCAUCCCCUGGGCACAUCCCAGAGGCUGCCGUUAGAGUGGGCUUUACCACAGGGCUGCUGGGGGAUAGAGGCACAUCUGUGCCUGAGAUGUGAGCAUGUAGCUCUGAUCAACACGGCUGAGCUUUUAAUAUUCCAUACUAAGGUUAGGAGAUGAGGUCACAGACCACGGUAGCGACUGACCAUUGGGUACCCGCUAUGUGCCAGGUAAUGUGUUGGGUGCUUUGUGCGUAUAAUGUUUCUUCUCCAAAGCUUCUGAAAGUACCUAUUAUUUUACCCAUUUUAAAGGUGGGUAGGUUAAUUUGGCUGAGUUCAUGUAUUUACUAGUGGCACCACUGGGAUUUGAACCCAGAACCCGGAUCCCUCAGUCUCUAAAACUUAACGCUUAUGCCCUUUCUCAUCUACUACCUGCCUCAUGGAUUUCAGACGUGGCCGUGACUUGCUGAGAGAAUUGGGGUGGGUGUGUUGUGGGCAAUGGCUCUGAAACUGCUUGCCGUGAGGGCAUAUGCCUAAGGAAGCCACUGUCCCCCGGCCUCAGCCUCAAAAUGGGACACGCGGAACAGACUGGAAGUGGGUAUGAAGCUGGAGAGUCACUGAGCUUUGGGGUCAUUUGUUACACAGCACCAUUACAGCAAUGGCUGGUCAACGCAAGCCUGGUUUCCCUCCCUAGGAAAAGAGAGCUAAGGUAACAUAUUGAUUAAUUUAAUAAAUACUUACUUAUUGAUUA
Molecule: long non-coding RNA, 3849 nt
Organism: Felis catus (domestic cat)
Lineage: Eukaryota; Metazoa; Chordata; Mammalia; Carnivora; Felidae
Exons: 3
Source: RefSeq, a predicted model, not a curated record